Molecule: long non-coding RNA, 967 nt
Organism: Pipra filicauda (Wire-tailed manakin)
Lineage: Eukaryota; Metazoa; Chordata; Aves; Passeriformes; Pipridae
Exons: 4
Source: RefSeq, a predicted model, not a curated record
UUGCUGACUGUGAGCUCUGCAGCCAUAGCACGAGCUGUGAAGUGGUUUUUUUUCCAGUCUCCAGACCUCUCCCCUCUCUCUGUAGAAGCACCACUUCUGGGCGGCAGCUGCAUCGGGCGUGCAGGUCAGCUGCAAGGGUAGAAGUCUGAUAGUGGAAAAGCCCUUUAAGGAAAGAGCAAAAGAUGGGGUAGAACAUUAAACUCCCAGAGGGAAGGAAGGAGCAGGAAGCAGGAGGACUGCAUGACCCAAAUAUUUCCCAUCAGGGAAGCGUACCAUUUAACUGAAUGCUCGAUGCCAUUGAAAUGGUACCUCUGUGCUCUGCCUGACAGCGCUGUGAGAAGGGUUUCAGGUAUCACUUAACUGUCACAAGCAAGAAAACCUUCCUCUGCUCAACAGAUGUGCAACUCUAAAUCCAGGGUUUUUCUUUCUACAGUUAGAUCCAACAGUAACAGCACCGUUAAGAGUUCCGCGCGAUUCCUCUUGAACUGGGUGAAGCUCUCUCAAAUGAUGCUGAGCCUGUCUGCUCACAGUGAGCAGAAAUUUCAGUGUGGCAAAAACCAACUAAGAAAUUCUUUCAACUGAUCUUGUGAAGAAAGCAGAUUGGGACAGCACAGCUGCUCCUGCUUGGCGUUUCCUAUGCUUCUUCCUGUGGCCAGGAAAACCCGGCAUAAUGAAAAUGCUUACAACUCCAUGGCUUCUUAAAUGAGGCCCAGUACUGACUCGAACAAAGGCCAGAAUUCAAGCAAGAUGUUUUCCUCUCUCAUGAGCAGAUCUUUAGCAUGAAGCUGUUAGUUGAAACAAACCGAGGAAGGGGGAAGGACGCACACCAACAAAAAUCCACAAAUCCAGGAAGCCUUGGUGUGCAGGCAGCCCAUCUGAACAGAGCAGAGGCACUGACUGCUCAGCCUAGGAAGAAGCACACCACUUCUGCUCCCCUGUAUGGGCACUGUUUCCGCUGCUCCUCAGA